RNAcentral lists this small RNA (438 nucleotides) under uncultured cyanobacterium. Its description in RNAcentral is "bacterial LSU rRNA". It matches the Rfam family "Bacterial large subunit ribosomal RNA", at positions 695 to 1135 of the family's 2925-position model. Lineage: Bacteria; Bacillati; Cyanobacteriota. The record is from RNAcentral.
ACAGGUCACUGUUUAUAGACCGAACCCGGGUGAUCUAACCAUGUCCAGGAUGAAGCUUGGGUAACACCAAGUGGAGGUCCGAACCGACUUCUGUUGAAAAAGGAGCGGAUGAGGUGUGGUUAGGGGUGAAAUGCCAAUCGAACCUGGAGCUAGCUGGUCCUCCUCGAAAUGUGUUUAGGCGCAGCGGCAUUGAUUAUAGCCGGGGGGUAAAGCACUGAUUCUGCGGGCUGCGAGAGCGGUACCAAAUCGAGUCAAACUCAGAAUACCCGGUGCACACAAUGCCAGUAAGACGGUGGGGGAUAAGCUUCAUCGUCAAGAGGGAAACAGCCCAGACCACCAGCUAAGGCCCCCAAGUGAAUACUAAGUGGCAAAGGAGGUGGGAAUGCAGAGACAACCAGGAGGUUUGCCUAGAAGCAGCCAUCCUUAAAAAAAGUGCGU